Molecule: ribosomal RNA, 570 nt
Filed under: uncultured Glomeraceae
Lineage: Eukaryota; Fungi; Glomeromycota; Glomeromycetes; Glomerales; Glomeraceae
Description: bacterial SSU rRNA
Rfam family: Eukaryotic small subunit ribosomal RNA
Source: RNAcentral
UUGGAGGGCAAGUCUGGUGCCAGCAGCCGCGGUAAUUCCAGCUCCAAUAGCGUAUAUUAAAGUUGUUGCAGUUAAAAAGCUCGUAGUUGAAUUUCGGGGUCAGUAGGUCGGUCGUGCCACUGGUAUGAACUGGUUUUACUGAUUCCUCCCUCUUGAAGAACUGUAAUGCCAUUAAUUUGGUGUUGCAGGGAAUCAGGACUGUUACUUUGAAAAAAUUAGAGUGUUUAAAGCAGGCUUUAGCUUGAAUACAUUAGCAUGGAAUAAUGAAAUAGGACGUUUGAUCCUAUUUUGUUGGUUUCUAGGAUUGACGUAAUGAUUAAUAGGGAUAGUUGGGGGCAUUAGUAUUCAAUUGUCAGAGGUGAAAUUCUUGGAUUUAUUGAAGACUAACUACUGCGAAAGCAUUUGCCAAGGAUGUUUUCAUUAAUCAAGAACGAAAGUUAGGGGAUCGAAGACGAUCGAGUACGUACCGUACGUACGUUACCUAACUAAUUAAACUAGUCGGACCGUAACGGUAAGGGUACGUACGGUAGUAGUAGUUAAGUUUUUAAAUUUUUAAGUACGUACCUACUU